This is a small nucleolar RNA of Suricata suricatta (meerkat), 214 nucleotides long. Its record names the gene U3. It matches the Rfam family "Small nucleolar RNA U3". Rfam says of the family: Small nucleolar RNAs (snoRNAs) are involved in the processing and modification of rRNA in the nucleolus. Lineage: Eukaryota; Metazoa; Chordata; Mammalia; Carnivora; Herpestidae. The record is from Ensembl.
AAGACUGUUUUUAGGGGUCUUUUCUAUCCUCUGUCACUGACAGUUUCAGAUUCUCUGAAAGUCUAGAACCCCAGAAAACAAACACAAGCAGGAAGCAGCCUUCUCUCCUGAAUGUGAAACCAGGUCUUGGUGUUGCUUCUGCACCUGCCACUUGCCAUCGAUAAUUGUCCUUUUCUUUUGGAAGAGCAGGAGAGAGAGGAUGACAUGGAGUGGU